UAAUAAUAAUAAAGAAAUACAUUUCUAUUCUAUACUAAACAAGAACCUGAAAUGAAAUUCUACAUAAAUGGCAAUGGAAUGCAAUGUUGAGCUUCCAAGGGACACAAUGAUGCCCUUUUCAGUAAGACCAUUUUCACAUUUUUUGCACAACCGUGCAAUCAUGGGAUUGGAGAACUAUACAUCAACUCUCUAUUUUUCUUACCCGUCAUGUGCUCCAAAAAUUGGAGCAUAAUUAUACUAAAUACCCAAAUGAAUCUGCUAACUCAACGCAUUUUCACAAUGUGUAAACUAACUGGAAAUCUAAGAAAGAGAAAGUCAGCAUGUGGCAUCUAACCCAUGAGAAUCUGUUGCUACCCAACAGCAUUCUGUAUACCAAUUCUAAAUUUUGCAUUUUAGCAAAAACAAAAAGAGCGAAAUUUACUGGAUUUAUACACGACUCUGCUGCUCUCUGUUUUCCAUCUCUCUCACACUAUCCACUAUGCGUUGGAUCUUCUUUGACAGACUCUCAUUAUGCUCCUCAAUCUGUUCAAAUAUCAAUUCCAAAUGCCUUUUAUACGUCGCUGCCCUCUUUUUCUCUAGAGCUAGCUGCUGCGAUAGUUCACGGAUUUUAUCAUGUUCAUUCUGCACACCAAAAGUUUAGUUGCAAUUUAGAAAAAGUAAUACCACUAAAAUCAAUUUAUGCAAUGCAGGUGUUGAGAAUUCUAUUAAACUUCCAUGAAAGUUAAUGCAUCCCAUUUGCCACUUUUUACACGUAAAAGUUGCAAAUUGAUGUCUGGAAGAGCACAAGUCCUCAAGAAAGACAGCAACAAAUGCUUCCCAACAAAUACUCUAUUAAAGCAAAUUCACCAGGAUGUCAGUGAGAGGCGACAAGCAUGUAUACCUUCAUAGCUAUUUCCUUAAACCACAAUACCAUUGACAAAGAUAUUAACUCAACCUAUGCAAUGAGAAAUAAAGAUAACUCAUUAUUUAGUGGAGCUUAAAAUGUAAUGCGUGACUCCAAGUUCAUGGUUAUCUUCGUAGGGUUUUUUGCGAUGAAGAAAUAGGCAUGUGAUAUCACAUUACAGGAAACAAAAGGAGGCAUAAAGACUUGAAAGCAUUAGACAAAGUUUUAGAAGACAGCCACAUAAAUUAUAUUGUACAUGAAAUGGGAUUGACCAACAAAAGUUUAUUAUCCUUAUGAGAUCGGAAUUCUGGUUAAAACAAUACUUCUCUAAGUUAGACUUCUAAUAAAGCUCAAAAAAUCUCAAAAUCUAAGACCCAAAACAUAGCAACCCAGCCCAUUCAAAUAAAGCUGGAAAUUACUAAAAUAUCAACAGGUUCAAAAACCAAGGAUAAAUACUAAACCCACAGCUAAUUGAGUUCAAUAAAUACAGAACUAAAAUAUGAUUAUAAAAGGUUUUGUAAGGUAAGCCAAAAUAAAAGUUUAUUUCAUCUUUCAUCUUGCUUUUCAUGGAGCUUUUCAUGGAGCUUCUUGUUGUCUGCAUAACUUACAUACAUAGUUGAAGUGUCACUAAAAAGACAAAAGUUAACCACUUCUAAUUAUAAAAAUUUAUCACAUACAAGAAAACACAAAAUAUACAAGUGAACGUCCACAAUCACCUUUUUCUGAUGAUCCAACAACCGUACUACACAAACCAAUGAGGGAAUUCUCCUCAUUCUACAUAACAUUCAACAAUGUUCUUACAUCAUGAUUGUAAUAAAUUCAAUAAACUUAAUAAAACCCAGCCUACAUUAUUCCUUUUUCUACAAAGAACCUAAUCCAAGAUAUCAGACAACUAUAUUAAAUUCAACAACCUAAUAAAACUCCACCUUAAUGCAUUUCUUUUUCUGGCAAGAACCUGGUCCAUAAUAUCUAGAUAACGAGUGUUUGUAGCAAUCAACCAUGCCUGCAGAUCAGCCCUCAACAAUAUAACGUUAAGAACAAUGAGAUUUUUUAAACUCUGCACUGUACUGGUUUUUGAGUUACUGGAUGCAGAGGAAGUAGUAUCAAACAUAAAGUUCAGAAAUUGGCACGCAUACUACAGGUACACAUGAUUGAACCAUUAUAAAUGCCUUCACAGCUACUGUUAAAAUGGAAUACAAUUUAAGCCAACAUCCUUUUUUCCGAACUAAAUUCAUAAUUGUCCCAAAAAGGACUUAAGAAGUAAAGACAGGUGAUAAAAAAAAUGGAUGAUUAUAGAAAAUGACAUGUUACUUAAGUGUUUAACCUACAAAUAACAGAAUGCAAAAAAUAGCAAUUGGCACAACCAAGGGCUGUGUUACACGUUCUUCAGGUUCCAUUGAGAUUUCCAAAUGAUUCUAGUGAAAUCCCUAUAAAAAGUAUUAUUAUGGGGAAAUAUAGUCUAAUCAUGCUAACUGUUAACUUGGUUUUCACAAGCCUUAAAAGUUCAUCUACAUUUUUUUUUCCAGGUAGGUAAAGUUCAUAUUUUUUCAAGUAACUCAAGUUCAUGUGCUUUUUUCCUUUCAAUGAGCUGUUCAAACAAAAGAUUAUAUACUUAAAAAUUUAAUAACACAACAAUACCAAAUCUGUAUAACAGGAGAGCACGAACUAACCGGAUACUGAUCAUAAAUGCAAUCCCUUCGGCCUUUACCAGGUGUUAAAGGAUGAGUGUGCUCCUUAACAAACUUUGUAACAACCCAUUUACCAGAACUUACUUUCCUCACCAAAAUCAUUGCUCUGCAGCCAACCCUCGUCUCCGCCCUUUGUCUUACAAUUUUUUCUCGCUUGUCAGGCAUUCUGUAACCCUCUUUAUUACAAACAAGUGCCCGACCAAUGGCAGAUCCAUCACGCCUUGAUCGAGAGAGUUUGCUGACACGGAUGAUGAAUCCCACACGUGUAGCAUAAGUAUUGUAAAAUGCAUGUGCAGCUGCUUCAGAUUCAAAUUCCUGUCCCACAUAGGGCUCAUCUGCUGGAACCAUAGCUAUAGAUGGAACUCCAUCCAGAAUUGCAUCCUUACCUAAAGACUCUUUAUCCACUUUAUCAUCCUGAUCUUGUUGAAAAUCCUCUUCAGCAGAAUUUAUAACAAUUUCAUUUUCAUCACCUGCUCUGCUAUCUUCCAACUCAACAGUUCCCACCACCACACCAUUGGCAUCACCAUUUACCCCAAAUUCCAUAUUGACGGACGGAGGAAAUAGGAGUGAUGCGAUCACACCACCUAAUGGCUAAAACAGAUGAAAAUUAAUCAAAUAAAUUAUCGAUUUCCCAACUGUGAUGGGAAAUAGGGAAAAUGCGAAACGAGGUUAGGCAAUCACAGGCCGUGAUGGGGGUAGUCACCAGCGACGAUAGAGAGAAGGGAGAUGAUGAUUGUGAAUAAGAAAAAGGAAGAAGAUAUUCAUGUGAAGGAGACGGCCAAAUCGUAGGCGAUGAUCGCAACGUCGGUAGCUGGCAGUUGGCCGUCGGCGAUGGAGGUGACUAUCCUAAAAUGUCGACUAUAAGUUUAGGAUUCGGUGGUUAGGGUUCAGACAUCUAGAGGUAAGAUGAGAGACAGGAAAUUAAAAGGAAAGAAGUUCUGACUUUUACGGCUUGUUUGUUUGUUUGUUUGGAAGUGAGGGGAAACAGGGAGAAUGGAAGGGGAAGGGAAGGGAAGGGAAGGAAAGGAAAGGGGGGAAAGGAAUGAAAUGUUUUCGGUUGCUCGAAAUGAAGAGGAGGAAGGAGGAUGAUUG
This 3663-nucleotide unclassified non-coding RNA is filed under the name Hevea brasiliensis (rubber tree). The record is from RNAcentral. Lineage: Eukaryota; Viridiplantae; Streptophyta; Magnoliopsida; Malpighiales; Euphorbiaceae.